Long non-coding RNA from Physella acuta, 647 nucleotides. RefSeq lists it as uncharacterized. Lineage: Eukaryota; Metazoa; Mollusca; Gastropoda; Physidae. The record is from RefSeq and is a predicted model, not a curated record.
CAGUCUGUAGUGCUACAUCUAAACGGAGCACCACUGCAGAAAGAAAACUGUCAGUACCACUUUAAGCACCCUGAGCCGGCUGUGACGUUUUGCUGUUUGAACACAGCACAGCCGUGUGAGGCAACAGUGCUGUUUGGUGACAGCGAUGUGGCUGUAGGAUCACCAUGUGUGACGUACCAAUUCAACAAAACUCAUCAAUCUAAUUCAAGUCUUGUGCUUGGAUACAAAGUCUGCAAUUCUUCAGAGUGGGCGCAGGAGUACAGAUGCUUUUUUACAUGGGAUAAUGCAGACCACACUACUGCUAAUACAGGAAUUAUAGUUACCGUUGUUCUAGUGCUGAUUGCCCUUGUAUGCUGUACUGUGGGUGGUGUUUAUUACUUCUACAGAAGAAAAAAAGGAAUCAAGACAUCUAUACAGGUUGAACAAACGAAACCGAUGAUGUAGGCUUUUUUUAUUUACUUUUUAAAACAAGAACGCCAUGAUACUUUAAAUGACUUCAAUAUUUUACUGUGUUUUUGUGUUUGUAUAUUUUAUAUCUAUGGAAAAAAAACAUUACGAAGAAAUGCAAGUUUAAUUUCUCACUAUUACUCAGAGGCGUAGCAACCCCUCCCGCCGCCUGGGGACAAACUUUCAACUUGGCGCCCCCC